Molecule: ribosomal RNA, 485 nt
Filed under: uncultured bacterium
Lineage: Bacteria
Description: SSU rRNA
Rfam family: Bacterial small subunit ribosomal RNA
Source: RNAcentral
AGAACGAACGCUGGCGGCAUGCCUAACACAUGCAAGUCGAACGCUUCCGGGGCUUCGGUCGCGGAGGAGUGGCGCACGGGUGAGUAGCGCGUGGGAACCUGCCCUGUUGUGGGGGAUAACCGAGGGAAACUUCGGCUAAUACCGCAUACGCCCCGGGACUUGGUCUUCGGAUUAGGUCUGGGGGGAAAGAUUGAUCGCAGCAGGAGGGGCCCGCGUCGGAUUAGCUGGUUGGUGGGGUAACGGCUCACCAAGGCGAUGAUCCGUAGCUGGUCUGAGAGGAUGAUCAGCCACACUGGGACUGAGACACGGCCCAGACUCCUACGGGAGGCAGCAGUGGGGAAUAUUGGACAAUGGGGGCAACCCUGAUCCAGCAAUGCCGCGUGAGUGAUGAAGGCCUUAGGGUUGUAAAGCUCUUUCGCCCGCGACGAUGAUGACGGUAGCGGGAGAAGGAACGCCCGGCUAACGUACGCGCCAGCAGCCGCGGU